AUGUGAUCGUCUCUCGCAUAUCAAUAAGCGGAGGAAAAGAAACUAACAAGGAUUCCCCUAGUAACGGCGAGUGAAGCAGGAAGAGCUCAAAUUUGAAAUCUUAAAGGGUUUCCCUUUACGAAUUGUAGUUUAAAGAAGUGUUUUCUGUUGAGGUUUUGGUAAAAGUUCUUUGGAAUAGGACAUCAUAGAGGGUGAGAAUCCCGUAUUUGACCUUUACUUUCAACUUUGUGAUACACUUUCAAAGAGUCGGAUUGUUUGGGAAUGCAGUCCAAAAUGGGUGGUAAAUUUCAUCUAAAGCUAAAUAUUGGCGAGAGACCGAUAGCGAACAAGUACCGUGAGGGAAAGAUGAAAAGAACUUUGAAAAGAGAGUUAAAACAGUACGUGAAAUUGUCAAAAGGGAAGCGUUUGACACCAGUGUUGUUUUUCUGAAAAUCAAUUAAAGAACUGUUUAUGCUAAGUUGUUUAGACUUUAUCAGCUAACUGUUUAGUUUUGAGCUUUUCUUUAAUGCACUUUUCAGUUAACAAGUCAACAUCAAUUUCUUUUGCUGUAAAAAAGCUUGAGGAAGGUGGCUUGAGAUUCGUCUUAAGUGUUUAUAGCCUCUUGCCUAUGCAGUCGGAGAGAUUGAGGUCUGCAGCGUAGAUCCUUCGGGGCUAAAUGCAUUUGUGCUAAGUUAUAGCAUUUUAUAGACAACUUGUUGACUAUGAUUUGUCUUGUAGCUUACUCGCUUAUGUUAUUUUACCUACGCUUAGGAUGUUGAUCUACAGAGCGAGAGU
RNAcentral lists this ribosomal RNA (774 nucleotides) under uncultured Neocallimastigales. RNAcentral describes it as "partial large subunit ribosomal RNA". It matches the Rfam family "Eukaryotic large subunit ribosomal RNA", at positions 24 to 631 of the family's 3401-position model. Lineage: Eukaryota; Fungi; Neocallimastigomycota; Neocallimastigomycetes; Neocallimastigales. The record is from RNAcentral.